RNAcentral lists this ribosomal RNA (460 nucleotides) under uncultured bacterium. Its description in RNAcentral is "partial 16S ribosomal RNA". It matches the Rfam family "Bacterial small subunit ribosomal RNA", at positions 338 to 795 of the family's 1533-position model. The record is from RNAcentral.
UCUACGGGGGGCUGCAGUGAGGAAUAUUGGUCAAUGGACGAGAGUCUGAACCAGCCAAGUAGCGUGAAGGAUGACUGCCCUAUGGGUUGUAAACUUCUUUUAUAAAGGAAUAAAACGCGGCACGUGUGCCUUUUUGCAUGUACUUUAUGAAUAAGGAUCGGCUAACUCCGUGCCAGCAGCCGCGGUAAUACGGUGGAUCCGAGCGUUAUCCGGAUUUAUUGGGUUUAAAGGGAGCGUAGAUGGGUUGUUAAGUCAGUUGUGAAAGUUUGCGGCUCAACCGUAAAAUUGCAAUUGAUACUGGCAGUCUUGAGUACAGUUGAGGUAGGCGGAAUGCGUGGUGUAGCGGUGAAAUGCAUAGAUAUCACGCAGAACUCCGAUCGCGAAGGCAGCCUACCGGCGCGCAACUGACGCUCAUGCACGAAAGCGUGGGUAUCGAACAGGAUUAGAUACCCCAGUAGUC